CCGCAACGGUAUCAUUGUCGACUAUUCAACGCACUACAGCCACGUCUAUACCUCCCGUGGUACCGUCCAUCAUCUCACGGCGCUUGUCUGAGGUGGGGUUACAUUCACAGAGGCCUUUAAGAUGUUUGCCUUUAACCCCACAACGUCAGCGAAGUCGUCUGGAGUGGUGUCGCAGCCAAUCGUCAUGGCUUCCAUCAGACUGGCAUUGUACAGUGUUCAGUGAUGAAUCCCACUUCACUGUUGAAGCAGAUGACCACUGUGUUCGUGUCUGGAGAGGACGGGGCCAGCUGUCACAAUCAGCCUUUGUUUUACAAAGACAUACAGGAAGAACCUCUGAUGUGAUGGUGUGGGGUGCUAUUUCUUAUGACAGCAAGUCAUCUUUAGUCAUCCUCCGUACAUCUUUAACAGCUCAAUGAUAUAUUGAUACCAUCCUGCGGCCGGUUGCAUUACCCUUCAUGGCACAUCAUCCUGGGGCCAUUUUCCAAGAUAAUGCCAGGCCACAUACCGCUCGCAUGUUUCUGGAUUGUCUUCGUGCUCUUCCUUGGCCAGCAAGGUCACCAGACCUUUCACCAAUAGAUCAUGUCUGGGACAUGGUAGGCCGCCAGAUUCAGGCACCACAAAAUAUCGCAGAUCUGAAGCGACAACUGAUGAAUGCCUAGAAGUAUGUAUCACAGGAUGACAUUAUGAAUAUCUACCACUCCUUGCCUUGACAAAUUCAAGCAUGCAUUGCCGCCAGGGGCGGUUCGACCAACUACUAAUUUGAACACUCAAUUGGAGAUUGUGAGCCGUGAACAGGCUAGUACAUUCAAGUAACAGAAAUCAGUUCCAGAGCUGCGAUUGGGCACUACAAGAGGAAUGAGCAGCAAUGCCUCAACAACUCAUUGACAACCUCAUACUCAGCAUGGACAAACAAUGUGAAAACUGCACAGCAGUCAGGGAAUAUCAUAUCCCCUACUAAAGGCUGGAUGUUUCUUGCUGGACUCCUGUCACAUGAAUGUUUCGGCCUUCUGUUACAUUGUGCUUCAUGCUACGUUUUCAGUAUUACUUUACUGAAAACCUUUCCUUUUAUCCUUUUGAUUUAUUUUUUGGGAAAUUUUGCUUACAUUACCCAUGUUCUUACAUCUUGGAGAUCUUAUUAUUUAUAUUGAUUUCAAAAGCUUUUGCACAAUGUUAUAUUGAAAGAAAAAAAAUAGGCUCGUCCUUAAUUUUUGCACAGCAGUGUACAAUUACUCUAUAAUUAUAAUGUAAUUGCAAUUACACUGUAAAUGUCAUUAAAAUAAUACUUACUUUGCAAUUAUUACUUGCAUGCAAGAAUAUAACUUAAUUACAUGUAACUGAAUUACAUUUUUGCAGCUCUGGAAGAGAGACUAGAGAAAACUUCUUGAAAUUUAAGAUUACCCAAGAAACUGAAGGUAAAUGUGCAAAAAGAUUAAAGGCAGCUGCAGAUUAAAUUGGGGGGGGGAGCAGACUAGGUAUAAUGUAAGUAUUUUUGUAACUAACAAAUUAGUAAAUUCCGAGUUUUUCCAACAUUCAUAUUGCUUUCACUAGUCUCAAAAAUUUUUAUUUAUAAGGCUUUUAAACGCUGGACCAAGUUUGGAAUAAAUUCGAUUCUACAUAAGCAAUUUCCAUGAAUGAGUGCGACUGUGUAAUGGAUUAAGUUCAUUAUGCAAGACAUUACGGUACCAAGAAAAUUAAUCAAGAAACUGUAUUAAUUGUAAUGAAUAUUUAUUAAUUUUUAAAAAUAUGUACAUGUAAAAAACUUAUAGUUUUAAUCAUGAUAUAAAACUAAUUUCAUACCAACAUCUAAAAAAGUUUAAAUGUUGAUAAUGUUAAAAAAAUUUAUCAUUUCAAAAUAUUUAUUUGUACCUUUUAAGUAGUUACAAUAAACAAAUAACAUGCUUAAAUAUAAUAAAUAAAAGAUCUUAACCCUUCAGGUACAUCAGCAUAAUAAAAAGAUGCCUAAAAAUGAUAUAUAAAAUUUGCUUUCCCUUCUCACACUAAUAUUAAAGAUUUGAACAUACAUAUGAAACUACGGUAUAUACAUUACUAUAGAAUACAUUCUUCCCUUAAAGAUCACAGUAUGCAAAAAUACAAAAACAUUUACAUAUAUUCAGUAGAAUUUUAGAGAUUUAUAAAUUCAACAGUGCCUCAAUAAAUAAUUUUCUGAAAGAUAUAUGUAUGAGACAAAUAAGAGAUUCAUGUUAGAGAAAAGAAUUACACAGAAAUAUUUAUAGGAUUUUAAACUACUUAUUCUGAACAAUUAAAUACCAUGUUUCUCUGAAAUUAAGACCUAUACAUAAAAUAAGCUCUAGCAUGAUUUUUCAGGGUACUUUUUAUAUAAGACUUAGUUUAAAUCAUCAGCCAGAUGGGCACUUUAUUCCCAAAAGGCAGAAGCAACACACAUGCAAAUAUGAAACAGACAUGGUUGCAAUAAUUAGAAUCUUCAGUAUUCAAUAUAUUGCAUAAGCAAUGAACAUUUAGCACCUGAUUUAAUAAUAAACUUAAAGGAUAAUAAAUUUUGAUGCUCAGAUAAAAUGAAUGCAAAAAGAUAAACCUAUUCCGUUGAGCACAAGAAAACUCUUGUGGGAAACUCUAGGAAUUAAAAGUCUUGCAGCUUUCUGAAAAGAGAAGAAAUUAAAUCUGCGAAUUGUCCAGAAAUGGCGAUGAAAUUACAAUAAAUAUCAAUUGAUAGGUUGUUUGAGGUAAAUAACUAGAAGCAUUAUUUCCUGAACUCUGCACACAUCUGCGAAUGGAUUACUAACAGCAGGGCAAAGUGUUUGAUUGUUUGCAGGGCUGAUAUUCAAGCAUAUGCCCUUGUAAUAGCACCACCACAGCUAGACAUAUUUCCAGAUGAAUUCAAAGCAUCACAACACUGGGCAAAUGGCUUCCUUCAGCAACACGCAUUGUCUUUAAGAACAUCGACAACACUCUUCAAAUCAAGAGAUACUGAAGUGAUUAAAUGUGCACUUGCAUUGAAGUGUUUCAUUGAUGGCAGCAACUCCUGAACAUGACUACUAUUGAUGAAACAGCAGUGUUUAUGGGUCAAGGGCCUCAAAAUACCAUUGACCACAUGGGUGCCUCUGCAAUAUACAUUCCCUGCACUGGUUACAAAACUACACACAUUACAUGUACUUUGACAAUUCGUCUCAAUGGACAAUUGAAUUAAUUAAACGUAAAUAUAACACAUGUAUAUAUGGAUAAAUAAGGUAUCUCUAAAUUCUUGAUCCAUUUUGGUUAAAAUGUAAUUAUUUCUGCUUUACGUGCCAAGAACUGACUGUAGAAUGAUAACAACAAGUUCUUAUUGUAAUAUGUUUAACAGCAUUACCAUAUGAAGCCUCAAGUCAAAUUUGAGCAUAAUUUUUUGAAAACUCAGCUCCAAAUAUUCAACUUCUCAUUAAAUAAAAUUUGAGAACAAGCACUGUAGAAAAUGAAAGAAGUUCAGAUAGAAGUUUCAACAAAAUUUAAAGAUAAUUGGGCAAAGAGUUUAGCAAGUGAACCACAGUCCAACUGCAUCAGUCUGCUGUUUUAGUAAAACAUUCUGAAGCUGCUACUAAUUCUUAACAGAAUUUUGCAAACUUUGUUUUAACAGGACAGUGUAUCAUCAUAUUUCACAAUUGAUGUUUAUGAUUAUCUCAAUAUAGCUUUUCUUCGCACAGGAAUAGACAAAGACUUUGGUCAGCAUACUCAACUGACAUUAGUUAGAUUAUGGCAAAGCUUAUGAGAGAUAUCUGUAUAUAGGAAAAGAAUUCCUUCAUGGAGGACCUUCUAAGAGAAACUCACUUGCAUUUAUAUCACCUAUUCAGAAAAAUAUGGGAUCUUUCAUGCAGCCAGCCUAUUCAUCAGAAUUUGAACCCAGAAUAAACUACCAGUGCUUGGGUUUUUAUCAAAUGAAAGUCAAUAAUUUUUAAAAACCUUGAAACUGAAUAUAAACUGCUGAAGGUAAUACAUUUCAGAUAUAAAAAUAAAAGUUUCGAGUAACAACAGAACAUUGGAGAUGAGUUUUGAAGUGAAAGGCAGUCAUAUUAAAGUGCAUUACAUUACUUCAUCCUCAUUAAUUUAUUUCAAUAAUUUCAUCCUGUUUAACUAAACUGGUCUCGACUUUAUGGGUACCAUGUAUUUAUAUAAGUUAAUACGAGUGUGUAUAUAGUAUAUAUACAUACAUACAUAUACGCACACAUCCAUGCAUAUACAUAAUGGUAGCUGGAGACAUUUUUUUAUUUCAGUCAGGAGGCUUCUUUGACAAUCUAUGCAUUGGUACCAUGCAGCUGAUUUUCUGACACAUUUAUCACCCAAGUGAUCACUUUUCAAGCUCAUCCUUAAUUUAAUAUCAUACAUGUAUGAUGUAUGUAAUAUACAUAUGCACGCACACACAUGAUAAAACAAAAUGAAAAACUAAAAUAAAGCAUGUCCUCUACACCAAAAAUAAGCCUUAACUGUGAGGUUGCAUAACAUUAGAUUUAAAAAAAUGUACUAAUGCAGCAUUAAAAAAUAACAGGUAAUACUAAGCUCAUUCCUUAUUAUGAAUACACAUUUCUCAACUGAUAAGUCACAACACACAGGUAAAUCAUGAAACCUUAAAAAGUAUACUCUAAAAUCUUUGAAUUGAACACAUUUAUAGACCCCACUUAGUUUUUGAUGUCGCAUUAUACAACAUUUAAACUAACAUUUUAACUUUUACUGGUAUGGUUACAAAUAUACAUUCCAUAAGCACUUUUAAAAUCUAGUAGACCUUCAAUAUACUCAAAUAGGAGAGACCAGGGGGAAAAAGUCUAUGCUACUUAGAUAAGUUAAUAUGAUUUCUGAAUUUUACAUUUUGAUUUAAGUUCAACAUACUGAAAUUCUACUGUAUAUAAUUAGUUAGCCAAAAAAUAACAAUAAUUUCAUUUAAUAAUAAAAUAAUAUUUUCAUUGGGAAGAUACUGAGGUACAUGAUAUUCCAUAUGUAAGUAAAUAAAUAAAAAAAAUUAGCAAAAUGUCAUUCUCAGAUCCCUAUAACAUGUAAAACAUAUUAAAUAUAAAUUUACAUGGAAAUAGAGAAAUAUUAGGCAGAAAACAAUUACUGAGGUGAUUUGCAUGUUGAAUACAGGCAACAUAUUGACAAACUUAUUAGACAACACCAGAUACAUAUCACAUAUUAAAUGUAAUGGAAGAGAAGAGGAAGAGAAGGAAUUUGAAAUAAAUUAUUCAAAGUGCAAACCACUGUGUUGCCAGAUCGUGCAUUUUCAAGUAAGCAUGCUAUUAAUCAAAACAGGUUGGCAAUUUGGUAAAAAAAGCCUUUCAUAUAUAUUUGUAACUAUACAACAUCAUG
This 5307-nucleotide long non-coding RNA is filed under the name Stegodyphus dumicola. RNAcentral describes it as "uncharacterized LOC118189671". Lineage: Eukaryota; Metazoa; Arthropoda; Arachnida; Araneae; Eresidae. The record is from RNAcentral.